AUAGCGUAUAUUAAAGUUGUUGCGGUUAAAAAGCUCGUAGUUGAAUCUGUGUCCCACGCUGUCGGUUCACCGCUCGCGGUGUUUAACUGGCAUGAUUGUGGGACGUCCUACCGGUGGGCUUAGCCUCUCGGGGCGGCCCAACUAAUAUCCCAUCGCGGUGCUCUUUACUGAGUGUCGAGGUGGGCCGGUACGUUUACUUUGAACAAAUUAGAGUGCUUAAAGCAGGCUAUCUUCGCCUGAAUACUGUGUGCAUGGAAUAAUGGAAUAGGACCUCGGUUCUAUUUUGUUGGUUUUCGGAACCCCGAGGUAAUGAUUAAUAGGGACAGAUGGGGGCAUUCGUAUUGCGACGUUAGAGGUGAAAUUCUUGGAUCGUCGCAAGACGGACAGAAGCGAAAGCAUUUGCCAAAAAUGUUUUCUUUAAUCAAGAACGAAAGUUAGAGGUUCGAAGGCGAUCAGAUACCGCCCUAGUUCUAACCAUAAACGAUGCCAGCUAGCGAUCCGCCGAAGUUCCUCCGAUGACUCGGCGGGCAGCUUCCGGGAAACCAAAGCUUUUGGGUUCCGGGGGAAGUAUGGUUGCAAAGCUGAAACUUAAAGGAAUUGACGGAAGGGCACCACCAGGAGUGGAGCCUGCGGCUUAAUUUGACUCAACACGGGAAACCUCACCAGGCCCGGACACCGGAAGGAUUGACAGAUUGAUAGCUCUUUCUUGAUUCGGUGGGUGGUGGUGCAUGGCCGUUCUUAGUUGGUGGAGCGAUUUGUCUGGUUAAUUCCGAUAACGAACGAGACUCUAGCCUGCUAAAUAGGCGUACUUUCCGGUAUCUCGAAGGCCCCCGGCUUCGGUCGGGUGGUUUUUACUACCGGCGUACAAAUAAAUCUUCUUAGAGGGAC
This 888-nucleotide ribosomal RNA is filed under the name Macroxyela ferruginea. Its description in RNAcentral is "SSU rRNA". It matches the Rfam family "Eukaryotic small subunit ribosomal RNA", at positions 594 to 1420 of the family's 1831-position model. Lineage: Eukaryota; Metazoa; Arthropoda; Insecta; Hymenoptera; Xyelidae. The record is from RNAcentral.